UCCGUUGGUAUAGUCCGCAGAGUUCUCGCGAUGGGAACGGGAAACCGGUGCCAAUCCGGUGCGGUCGCGCCACUGUGUUCAGCCCAUGCUGUCAGCCAGACCCCUUUCGUCGCUGUGCACGGA
Molecule: non-coding RNA, 123 nt
Filed under: Mycobacterium sp.
Lineage: Bacteria; Bacillati; Actinomycetota; Actinomycetes; Mycobacteriales; Mycobacteriaceae
Source: RNAcentral